AUUGAACGCUGGCGGCAGGCCUAACACGUGCAAGUCGAACGGUAACAGGAAGAAGCUUGCUUCUUUGCUGACGAGUGGCGGACGGGUGAGUAAUGUCUGGGAAACUGCCUGAUGGAGGGGGAUAACUACUGGAAACGGUAGCUAAUACCGCAUAACGUCGCAAGACCAAAAAGGGGGACCUUCGGGCCUCUUGCCAUCGGAUGUGCCCAGAUGGGAUUAGCUAGUAGGUGGGGUAACGGCUCACCUAGGCGACGAUCCCUAGCUGGUCUGAGAGGAUGCCCAGCCACACUGGAACUGAGACACGGUCCAGACUCCUACGGGAGGCAGCAGUGGGGAAUAUUGCACAAUGGGCGCAAGCCUGAUGCAGCCAUGCCGCGUGUAUGAAGAAGGCCUUCGGGUUGUAAAGUACUUUCAGCGGGGAGGAAGGGAGUAAAGUUAAUACCUUUGCUCAUUGACGUUACCCGCAGAAGAAGCACCGGCUAACUCCGUG
This 490-nucleotide ribosomal RNA is filed under the name uncultured bacterium. RNAcentral describes it as "partial 16S ribosomal RNA". It matches the Rfam family "Bacterial small subunit ribosomal RNA", at positions 30 to 507 of the family's 1533-position model. The record is from RNAcentral.